RNAcentral lists this ribosomal RNA (255 nucleotides) under uncultured bacterium. Its description in RNAcentral is "partial 16S ribosomal RNA". It matches the Rfam family "Bacterial small subunit ribosomal RNA", at positions 524 to 776 of the family's 1533-position model. The record is from RNAcentral.
UACGUAGGGUGCAAGCGUUGUCCGGAAUUAUUGGGCGUAAAGAGCUUGUAGGCGGUUUGUCGCGUCUGCUGUGAAAUUUCGGGGCUCAACCCCGAACUUGCAGUGGGUACGGGCAGACUAGAGUGUGGUAGAGGAGACUGGAAUUCCUGGUGUAGCGGGUGAAAAUGCGCAGAUAUCAGGAGGAACACCGAUGGCGAAGGCAGGUCUCUGGGCCACUACUGACGCUGAGAAGCGAAAGCAUGGGGAGCGAACAGG